AUUGAACGCUGGCGGCAUGCCUUACACAUGCAAGUCGAACGGCAGCACGGGUGCUUGCCCCUGGUGGCGAGUGGCGAACGGGUGAGUAAUACAUCGGAACAUGUCCUGUAGUGGGGGAUAGCCCGGCGAAAGCCGGAUUAAUACCGCAUACGAUCCACGGAUGAAAGCGGGGGACCUUCGGGCCUCGCGCUAUAGGGUUGGCCGAUGGCUGAUUAGCUAGUUGGUGGGGUAAAGGCCUACCAAGGCGACGAUCAGUAGCUGGUCUGAGAGGACGACCAGCCACACUGGGACUGAGACACGGCCCAGACUCCUACGGGAGGCAGCAGAGGGGAAUUUUGGACAAUGGGCGAAAGCCUGAUCCAGCAAUGCCGCGUGUGUGAAGAAGGCCUUCGGGUUGUAAAGCACUUUUGUCCGGAAAGAAAUCCUUGACUCUAAUACAGUCGGGGGAUGACGGUACCGGAAGAAUAAGCACCGGCUAACUACGU
RNAcentral lists this ribosomal RNA (485 nucleotides) under uncultured bacterium. RNAcentral describes it as "partial 16S ribosomal RNA". It matches the Rfam family "Bacterial small subunit ribosomal RNA", at positions 30 to 506 of the family's 1533-position model. The record is from RNAcentral.